GCCAGCAGCCGCGGUAACACCGGCGGCCCGAGUGGUGAUCGUGAUUAUUGGGUCUAAAGGGUCCGUAGCCGGUUUGGUCAGUCCUCCGGGAAGUCUGAUAGCUCAACUAUUAGGCUUUCGGGGGAUACUGCCAGACUUGGAACCGGGAGAGGUAAGAGGUACUACAGGGGUAGGAGUGAAAUCUUGUAAUCCCUGUGGGACCACCUGUGGCGAAGGCGUCUUACCAGAACGGGUUCGACGGUGAGGGACGAAAGCUGGGGGCACGAACCGGAUUAGAUACCCGGGUAGUCCCAGCCGUAAACGAUGCUCGCUAGGUGUCAGGCAUGGCGCGACCGUGUCUGGUGCCGCAGGGAAGCCGUGAAGCGAGCCACCUGGGAAGUACGGCCGCAAGGCUGAAACUUAAAGGAAUUGGCGGGGGAGCACAACAACGGGUGGAGCCCUGCGGUUUAAUUGGACUCAACGCCGGACAACUCACCGGGGGCGACAGCAAUAUGUAGGCCAAGCUGAAGACUUUGCCUGAAUCGCUGAGGAGUGGUGCAUGG
Molecule: ribosomal RNA, 542 nt
Filed under: uncultured archaeon
Lineage: Archaea
Description: bacterial SSU rRNA
Rfam family: Archaeal small subunit ribosomal RNA
Source: RNAcentral